AUGGCCGAAUGCUUCGAUAGGGUGCUCAAAGGUGCACGUGGAUUACCCGUGACGGCAAUAGUUCAAUACACAUUUGACAAGAUGAAUGCGUACUUUCUAAAGUACUCGAUGGAAACUGAUGCACAGAUAGCGGGUGAGAACCCGCGCAAGUACAAGUACAAGUUCCUACCCAAGGUUGAUGAAUGGUUAGAAUUUCAAUCACGAAAGGCGGACUCAGAAGAAGCUAUAUUAUCUGACAACGAAGAGUGGAAGUACGAAGUGAAAGAGCCAGGAGGAACCACAAACGAUGGCCGGCAACAUGGAGGUCGGGCUUUCAAGGUGUCAUUAACACAAUGUGAUUGCUCUUGUGGGAGGCCAUUGUUGCUUCAUCUCCCAUGCUCACACUUGUAUACCGCCGGUCCCAUGCUUGCACCGUGA
RNAcentral lists this ribosomal RNA (417 nucleotides) under Triticum aestivum (bread wheat). RNAcentral's name for it is "partial small subunit ribosomal RNA". Lineage: Eukaryota; Viridiplantae; Streptophyta; Magnoliopsida; Poales; Poaceae. The record is from RNAcentral.